Molecule: non-coding RNA, 72 nt
Organism: Caenorhabditis brenneri
Lineage: Eukaryota; Metazoa; Nematoda; Chromadorea; Rhabditida; Rhabditidae
Source: the annotation of a GenBank genome assembly
UCCCCCGCGGCCUAGUGGUUAGCGCUCCCGUUUUUGAAAUUCUAGACCCGGGUUCGAUUCCCCACGGGGUCA